GAUGAAGAACGUAGCGAAAUGCGAUACGUAAUGUGAAUUGCAGAAUUCAGUGAAUCAUCGAAUCUUUGAACGCAUAUUGCGCUCUCUGGUAUUCCGGAGAGCAUGCUUGUUUGAGUAUCAGUAAACACCUCAACUCCCUUUUCUUUUUUGAAAUGGGAGCUGGACUUGAGUGAUCCCAACACUUUUCUCACUGGAAAGUGGCGGGUCACUUGAAAUGCAGGUGCAGCUGGACUUUUCUCUGAGCUAUAAGCAUAUCUAUUUAGUCUGCCUAAAAAACAGAUUAUUACCUUUGCUGCAGCUAACAUAAAGGAGAUGAGUUCUUGUGCUGACUGAUGCAGGAUUCACAGAGACAGCUUUGCGGCUGACUUUGUAAACUCGAUCACAAAUCAAGUAAGACUACCCGCUGAACUUAAGCAUAUCAAUAAGCGGAGGA
This 433-nucleotide unclassified non-coding RNA is filed under the name soil metagenome. RNAcentral describes it as "partial contains 5.8S ribosomal RNA, internal transcribed spacer 2, and large subunit ribosomal RNA". The stretch from base 1 to 120 matches the Rfam family "5.8S ribosomal RNA", at positions 35 to 154 of the family's 154-position model. The record is from RNAcentral.